This 329-nucleotide small nuclear RNA is filed under the name Peromyscus maniculatus bairdii (prairie deer mouse). RNAcentral describes it as "7SK RNA (ENSPEMG00000004050.2)". It matches the Rfam family "7SK RNA". From Rfam's summary of the family: 7SK was discovered as an abundant small nuclear RNA in the mid-70s but a possible function has only recently been suggested. Lineage: Eukaryota; Metazoa; Chordata; Mammalia; Rodentia; Cricetidae. The record is from Rfam by way of RNAcentral.
AGAUAGUAGUCGAGUUGGCAACCACAUUUAAGCAUCACAGGAUGGUUAGGCAAGUGUCCCCUUCCUCCUUCACUAUUCAUAUGAGUUCCUCUCAGAGCUGCAUGCCGUGGAAGACAGUGAUCUUCCCCAAUAGAGGAGGACCAUUCUUGGGUCAAGGGGAUCUGAGUAGCUAUGUGUCCUUGCCAGAACCUCCAAAUAAGCCCUCAGAUGCCAGUGGCCAUGUCAGAGGAACAGCAAGUGGCAGUUGAAGUUCAAGGUGUCAGCCCACCAGGAGGAAAUCUCAGACAGGCAAGGCCCCCAAGACCACAGACUCUGGAAUGUCUUUUGCU